Molecule: ribosomal RNA, 253 nt
Filed under: uncultured bacterium
Lineage: Bacteria
Description: partial 16S ribosomal RNA
Rfam family: Bacterial small subunit ribosomal RNA
Source: RNAcentral
UACAGAGGUCUCAAGCGUUGUUCGGAUUCAUUGGGCGUAAAGGUUGCGUAGGUGGCGCCGUAAGUCGGGUGUGAAAUUUCGGAGCUUAACUCCGAAACUGCAUUCGAUACUGCGGUGCUUGAGGACUGGAGAGGAGACUGGAAUUCAUGGUGUAGCAGUGAAAUGCGUAGAGAUCAUGAGGAAGACCAGUGGCGAAGGCGGGUCUCUGGACAGUUCCUGACACUGAGGCACGAAGGCCAGGGGAGCAAACGGG